RNAcentral lists this ribosomal RNA (789 nucleotides) under Microbacterium sp. CI59. Its description in RNAcentral is "bacterial SSU rRNA". It matches the Rfam family "Bacterial small subunit ribosomal RNA", at positions 17 to 818 of the family's 1533-position model. The record is from RNAcentral. Lineage: Bacteria; Bacillati; Actinomycetota; Actinomycetes; Micrococcales; Microbacteriaceae.
UUAUGGCUCAGGAUGAACGCUGGCGGCGUGCUUAACACAUGCAAGUCGAACGGUGAAGCAGAGCUUGCUCUGUGGAUCAGUGGCGAACGGGUGAGUAACACGUGAGCAACCUGCCCCUGACUCUGGGAUAAGCGCUGGAAACGGCGCUCUAAUACUGGAUAUGUGACGUGACCGCAUGGUCUGCGUCUGGAAAGAAUUUCGGUUGGGGAUGGGCUCGCGGCCUAUCAGCUUGUUGGUGAGGUAAUGGCUCACCAAGGCGUCGACGGGUAGCCGGCCUGAGAGGGUGACCGGCCACACUGGGACUGAGACACGGCCCAGACUCCUACGGGAGGCAGCAGUGGGGAAUAUUGCACAAUGGGCGGAAGCCUGAUGCAGCAACGCCGCGUGAGGGAUGACGGCCUUCGGGUUGUAAACCUCUUUUAGCAGGGAAGAAGCGAAAGUGACGGUACCUGCAGAAAAAGCGCCGGCUAACUACGUGCCAGCAGCCGCGGUAAUACGUAGGGCGCAAGCGUUAUCCGGAAUUAUUGGGCGUAAAGAGCUCGUAGGCGGUUUGUCGCGUCUGCUGUGAAAUCCGGAGGCUCAACCUCCGGCCUGCAGUGGGUACGGGCAGACUAGAGUGCGGUAGGGGAGAUUGGAAUUCCUGGUGUAGCGGUGGAAUGCGCAGAUAUCAGGAGGAACACCGAUGGCGAAGGCAGAUCUCUGGGCCGUAACUGACGCUGAGGCAAAGAAGGGUGGGGAGCAAACAGGCUUAGAUACCCUGGUAGUCCACCCCGUAAACGUUGGGAACUA